RNAcentral lists this ribosomal RNA (468 nucleotides) under uncultured bacterium. RNAcentral's name for it is "partial 16S ribosomal RNA". It matches the Rfam family "Bacterial small subunit ribosomal RNA", at positions 28 to 507 of the family's 1533-position model. The record is from RNAcentral.
GACGAACGCUGGCGGCGUGCUUAACACAUGCAAGUCGAACGGAAAGGCCCUGCUUUUGUGGGGUGCUCGAGUGGCGAACGGGUGAGUAACACGUGAGUAACCUGCCCUGGACUUUGGGAUAACUUCAGGAAACUGGGGCUAAUACCGGAUAGGAGCGCCUGCUGCAUGGUGGGGGUUGGAAAGUUUCGGCGGUUGGGGAUGUACUUCCGGCUUAUCAGCUUGUUGGUGGGGUAGUGGCUUACCAAGGCUUUGACGGGUAGUCGGCCUGAGAGGGUGACCGGCCACAUUGGGCCUGAGAUACGGCCCAGACUCCUACGGGAGGCAGCAGUGGGGAAUAUUGCACAAUGGGCGGAAGCCUGAUGCAGCAACGCCGCGUGCGGGAUGACGGCCUUCGGGUUGUAAACCGCUUUCGCCUGUGACGAAGCGUGAGUGACGGUAAUGGGUAAAGAAGCACCGGCUAACUACGUG